UGAGUGCAGAAAGAGCAGAACGUGGAAUCUUGCCAGAGCGUGUUUUUGGUAGCUGUGUCACAAACAUCCCCUUCUGGAAAGCUGCUACUGGACCUAUGUUGGUCCGAACUCGCUCAACAAUCUCUUCCAAAAUCUUACUCUCUUGUGUCUUUAUACCUGGUGAAGAAGGGGCAAGAAGGGACACCACAGAUUUACAGACCAAAGAAGAAGGUAGGAUCAACAUGCAAGAUGAGGUUCCCAUAAUGGCCACCAUUCACUAAUUGGCCAGACACCCAGCACACCUUUUCCUAUACUCUCUGAAUAAGCAAUUGAUAUGUCAUCAGGGAAAUCUGUAACUGGCAAUCAAUCACAGUGACUCCAAAAAGCUUGGAGAUGGAUGUUGCCUGGAUCUACACAAGAAAAAUGGAAUUACUGCAAUAUGAAAGUUGUCAAAUUGGUCCUAAAGAUACUCCUGUUUGCUGUACCCAAACAUACACUGUCAUCAUGAUGCAAUUGCACACUAAAAAUAAUUUGUGUGACCAAUUCACUCACUUACUUUCACGGAGCCAAAUCUUCCAUUUUGAGCACUUGUAUAGGGCCAAUCGACCUAUUUCUACAAGGAAAGAAGUAAGCCAAUCCUUGGAUAGUUCAUCUGACAAGGAAACAUAACUAAUGCAGCAACGAGCCUCCAGUGUAUUCAGAUGUACAAUGGACAAGUGUGUAUUUUGGAGUGAUACAAAGUUAGCAUGAUUGUAUGCCAACAGGAGGA
Passer domesticus (house sparrow) is the source of this 748-nucleotide long non-coding RNA. RefSeq lists it as uncharacterized. NCBI's taxonomy places the organism in Eukaryota, Metazoa, Chordata, Aves, Passeriformes, Passeridae. The transcript has 4 exons. The record is from RefSeq and is a predicted model, not a curated record.